AUCCUUUUGUAAUUCACAGGUGUGAUUAUUGGGUUUUCAUGCUCGUGUGAGAGGUACCUCCUUCAAACCUUGUUACAACACGGGCACAUUUCCUGUCUGUUG
Molecule: small nucleolar RNA, 102 nt
Organism: Pan troglodytes (chimpanzee)
Lineage: Eukaryota; Metazoa; Chordata; Mammalia; Primates; Hominidae
Rfam family: Small nucleolar RNA U13
Source: Rfam